RNAcentral lists this ribosomal RNA (327 nucleotides) under Pilumnoides nudifrons. RNAcentral describes it as "partial large subunit ribosomal RNA". Lineage: Eukaryota; Metazoa; Arthropoda; Malacostraca; Decapoda; Pilumnoididae. The record is from RNAcentral.
AUUAUUAGAUAUAUUCUUUAAAUUUAAAGAAUUUGGCGGUAAUUUAGUCUUGUUAGAGGAACCUGUUUUUUAAAUGAUAAUCCACGCAAAAUCUUGCUUAUUUUUGUUAAAUCAGUUUGUAUACCGUCAUUAUCAGAUAAUUUUCAAAGAAGUAAUUAUUAAACUUAAUAAUUUAGUAAAAUUAGAUCAAGGUGCAGCUAAUAAAUAAGUUAAAAUGGGUUACAAUAGAUUUUAUUUAUACGGAAAGAUAAGGAAAUUUUUGAUUUUAAGGUGGAUUUAAUUGUAAUAUAAGUUUAAUAUGCUUAGGAGAUAUAAGCUCUAAAUUAU